GCAGCCGCGGUAAUACGUAGGGGGCAAGCGUUAUCCGGAUUUACUGGGUGUAAAGGGAGCGUAGACGGCAGGGCAAGUCCGAUGUGAAAACCCGGGGCUCAACCGCGGGAUUGCAUUGGAAACUGCUCGGCUCGAGUACUGGAGGGGUAAGCGGAAUUCCUAGUGUAGCGGUGAAAUGCGUAGAUAUUAGGAGGAACACCGGCGGCGAAGGCGGCUUACUGGACAGUAACUGACGUUGAGGCUCGAAAGCGUGGGGAGCAAACAGGAUUAGAUACCCC
This 278-nucleotide ribosomal RNA is filed under the name uncultured Acetitomaculum sp. RNAcentral describes it as "partial 16S ribosomal RNA". It matches the Rfam family "Bacterial small subunit ribosomal RNA", at positions 511 to 788 of the family's 1533-position model. The record is from RNAcentral. Lineage: Bacteria; Bacillati; Bacillota; Clostridia; Lachnospirales; Lachnospiraceae.